Molecule: ribosomal RNA, 1658 nt
Filed under: Salmonella enterica subsp. enterica serovar Stanley
Lineage: Bacteria; Pseudomonadati; Pseudomonadota; Gammaproteobacteria; Enterobacterales; Enterobacteriaceae
Description: partial 23S ribosomal RNA
Rfam family: Bacterial large subunit ribosomal RNA
Source: RNAcentral
CUUCGGGGUGUGACUGCGUACCUUUUGUAUAAUGGGUCAGCGACUUAUAUUCUGUAGCAAGGUUAACCGAAUAGGGGAGCCGGAGGGAAACCGAGUCUUAAUUGGGCGUUAAGUUGCAGGGUAUAGACCCGAAACCCGGUGAUCUAGCCAUGGGCAGGUUGAAGGUUGGGUAACACUAACUGGAGGACCGAACCGACUAAUGUUGAAAAAUUAGCGGAUGACCUGUGGCUGGGGGUGAAAGGCCAAUCAAACCGGGAGAUAGCUGGUUCUCCCCGAAAGCUAUUUAGGUAGCGCCUCGUGAAUUCAUCUCCGGGGGUAGAGCACUGUUUCGGCUAGGGGGCCAUCCCGGCUUACCAACCCGAUGCAAACUGCGAAUACCGGAGAAUGCUAUCACGGGAGACACACGGCGGGUGCUAACGUCCGUCGUGAAGAGGGAAACAACCCAGACCGCCAGCUAAGGUCCCAAAGUCAUGGUUAAGUGGGAAACGAUGUGGGAAGGCCCAGACAGCCAGGAUGUUGGCUUAGAAGCAGCCAUCAUUUAAAGAAAGCGUAAUAGCUCACUGGUCGAGUCGGCCUGCGCGGAAGAUGUAACGGGGCUAAACCAUGCACCGAAGCUGCGGCAGCGAACGUAUCACCCAAGACAACUUUACGGAGUUGACGAUUGACGGAGCGAAGCGACGUCAAAGCGUUCAUUAAAGUCGAGUUGGCUUAGGGAUACGUUCGUUGGGUAGGGGAGCGUUCUGUAAGCCGUUGAAGGUGGCCUGUGAGGGUUGCUGGAGGUAUCAGAAGUGCGAAUGCUGACAUAAGUAACGAUAAAGCGGGUGAAAAGCCCGCUCGCCGGAAGACCAAGGGUUCCUGUCCAACGUUAAUCGGGGCAGGGUGAGUCGACCCCUAAGGCGAGGCCGAAAGGCGUAGUCGAUGGGAAACGGGUUAAUAUUCCCGUACUUGGUGUUACUGCGAAGGGGGGACGGAGAAGGCUAUGUUGGCCGGGCGACGGUUGUCCCGGUUUAAGCGUGUAGGUGUGUGUUCCAGGUAAAUCCGGUUCACUUUAACACUGAGGCGUGACGACGAGGCACUACGGUGCUGAAGCAACAAAUGCCCUGCUUCCAGGAAAAGCCUCUAAGCAUCAGGUAACAUCAAAUCGUACCCCAAACCGACACAGGUGGUCAGGUAGAGAAUACCAAGGCGCUUGAGAGAACUCGGGUGAAGGAACUAGGCAAAAUGGUGCCGUAACUUCGGGAGAAGGCACGCUGACACGUAGGUGAAGUGAUUUACUCAUGGAGCUGAAGUCAGUCGAAGAUACCAGCUGGCUGCAACUGUUUAUUAAAAACACAGCACUGUGCAAACACGAAAGUGGACGUAUACGGUGUGACGCCUGCCCGGUGCCGGAAGGUUAAUUGAUGGGGUCAGCGCAAGCGAAGCUCCUGAUCGAAGCCCCGGUAAACGGCGGCCGUAACUAUAACGGUCCUAAGGUAGCGAAAUUCCUUGUCGGGUAAGUUCCGACCUGCACGAAUGGCGUAAUGAUGGCCAGGCUGUCUCCACCCGAGACUCAGUGAAAUUGAACUCGCUGUGAAGAUGCAGUGUACCCGCGGCAAGACGGAAAGACCCCGUGAACCUUUACUAUAGCUUGACACUGAACAUUGAGCCUUGAUGUGUAG